ACGCUUUUAGAUGGGUCCAGCCAGGCCCAGUGACAAAGUUCAACGAGCCGCGGUACCCUGACCGUGCGAAGGUAGCAUAAUCACUUGUUCUUUAAAUAAGGACUAGUAUCAAUGGCAUCACGUAAGGCUGUACUGUCUCCUCCCCCCUAUCUAUGAAACUAAUCUCCCCGUGAAGAAGCGGGGUUAAAACUAUAAGACGAGAAGACCCCAUGGAGCUUUUAAAUUCAAUGGACAAUCUUACACACAUUAGCCCUCACAGUCCUUGAACCUGUCUAUUAAUUUUAGGUUGGGGUGACCGCGGAGCAUAACUAAACCUCCACAACGAACAGGACACUAACCUUUAUCUAAGAGCAACAACUCCAAGAAUCAAAAAAUUGACGUUAAAUGACCCGAUAUUCGACUAAUGAAACAAGUUACCCUGGGGAUAACAGCGCAAUCUACUUUUAGAGCCCAUAUCAACAAGUAGGCUUACGACCUCGAUGUUGGAUCAGGAUAUCCUGGUGGUGCAGCCGCUACCAACGGUUCGUUUGUUCAACGAUUAAAAUCCUACGUGAUCUAAGUUC
Molecule: ribosomal RNA, 563 nt
Filed under: Nyctibatrachus kempholeyensis
Lineage: Eukaryota; Metazoa; Chordata; Amphibia; Anura; Nyctibatrachidae
Description: partial 16S ribosomal RNA
Rfam family: Bacterial large subunit ribosomal RNA
Source: RNAcentral